CCAUCGGCCUUUUUCAGGGCCAUACAAUUAGUGGAAAAGAGUUACA
This is a non-coding RNA of Aedes aegypti (yellow fever mosquito), 46 nucleotides long. The record is from Rfam. Lineage: Eukaryota; Metazoa; Arthropoda; Insecta; Diptera; Culicidae.